GCUUUGACAGCACAGACUAAAACUGGAAUGAUUCUCAGAAGAUUAGCUUCGCCCCUGCACAAGAUGGAUAUGCAAAUUUGGGAAGCAUUCCAUAUUUUU
This 99-nucleotide small nuclear RNA is filed under the name Sphenodon punctatus (tuatara). The record is from RNAcentral. Lineage: Eukaryota; Metazoa; Chordata; Lepidosauria; Sphenodontia; Sphenodontidae.